This 433-nucleotide ribosomal RNA is filed under the name uncultured bacterium. RNAcentral describes it as "partial 16S ribosomal RNA". It matches the Rfam family "Bacterial small subunit ribosomal RNA", at positions 29 to 507 of the family's 1533-position model. The record is from RNAcentral.
AACGAACGCUGGCGGCAUGCCUAACACAUGCAAGUCGAACGAGACCUUCGGGUCUAGUGGCGCACGGGUGCGUAACGCGUGGUAACCUGCCCUUAGGUUCGGAAUAACUCCCCGCAAGGGGUGCUAAUACCGGAUAAUGUCUUCGGACCAAAGAUUUAUCUCCUUUGGAUGGGCCCGCGUUGGAUUAGCUAGUUGGUAGGGUAAAAGCCUACCAAGGCGACGAUCCAUAGCUGGUCUGAGAGGAUGAUCAGCCACACUGGGACUGAGACACGGCCCAGACUCCUACGGGAGGCAGCAGUGGGGAAUAUUGGACAAUGGGCGAAAGCCUGAUCCAGCAAUGCCGCGUGAGUGAUGAAGGCCUUAGGGUUGUAAAGCUCUUUUACCCGGGAUGAUAAUGACAGUACCGGGAGAAUAAGCUCCGGCUAACUCCGUG